GAUGAACGCUGGCGGCGUGCCUAAUACAUGCAAGUCGAGCGAACGGACGAGAAGCUUGCUUUUCUGAUGUUAGCGGCGGACGGGUGAGUAACACGUGGAUAACCUACCUAUAAGACUGGGAUAACUUCGGGAAACCGGAGCUAAUACCGGAUAAUAUUUUGAACCGCAUGGUUCAAAAGUGAAAGACGGUCUUGCUGUCACUUAUAGAUGGAUCCGCGCUGCAUUAGCUAGUUGGUAAGGUAACGGCUUACCAAGGCAACGAUGCAUAGCCGACCUGAGAGGGUGAUCGGCCACACGGGAACUGAGACACGGUCCAGACUCCUACGGGAGGCAGCAGUAGGGAAUCUUCCGCAAUGGGCGAAAGCCUGACGGAGCAACGCCGCGUGAGUGAUGAAGGUCUUCGGAUCGUAAAACUCUGUUAUUUGGGAAGAACAUAUGUGUAAGUAACUGUGCACAUCUUGACGGUACCUAAUCAGAAAGCCACGGCUAACUACGUG
RNAcentral lists this ribosomal RNA (497 nucleotides) under uncultured bacterium. Its description in RNAcentral is "partial 16S ribosomal RNA". It matches the Rfam family "Bacterial small subunit ribosomal RNA", at positions 28 to 507 of the family's 1533-position model. The record is from RNAcentral.